Long non-coding RNA from Cynoglossus semilaevis (tongue sole), 3942 nucleotides. RefSeq lists it as uncharacterized. NCBI's taxonomy places the organism in Eukaryota, Metazoa, Chordata, Actinopteri, Pleuronectiformes, Cynoglossidae. The transcript has 4 exons. The record is from RefSeq and is a predicted model, not a curated record.
UCGUACAGUAAGUCUUGCUCCUGUCUUUGUCCCUGAUGUGAAAAUACCUCUAAACUGCUGACGUUGUUGAUCUACUUAGAAUAAACUACGUACAAGGACAACGAGACACUGAACUGCAGUAAGAAAAAAAAACACACACAACCCUGGCUGACCAGGCACAGCGUGCUGUAGUGAAAGCUGCCAUGGAACAUUAGGUCAAUGGAUCAGCACAUGUUUCCUGUAUUAUUAUUUAGUAUUUAAAUGAAUAAUCAUUAUAGAAAUAUUAGAUCAUUUACAUCACACUCGGUCAUUCAACCCACGUGAUAAAAAAGAUUUAGAGUAAACUGCAUCAGAGGUCAUUAAACGUUUGCUUACGCUGCAGGCACACGGAGUAUAAAUACACACACAGCCAGCGCCCACAACAGGAGUUCUCCAUAACUAAUGUGACUUUGGGGCCUUAUUGAGAACACACACACACACACACUGUCCACGCUGACACUGAAAUGUCAGCAGCACAAAUUAAUCCACUCUCUGAGUGACUCCACCGAGGCUUCUUCAACCUUAAACACUGAUGUCUGUAGGAAGUUGUACUAAAUACUAUGAACUAUAGAAGUAUUUCUACUGGUGAGUCUGUCAUUAAAAAAAAAAUCACUUAUUCAACAUGAGUCAUAAAUUCCUAAAGUGGAUUAGUCAGCUGUUAGUUAAUCCCUGAUUUACUGAUCCUGAAGUUCGUCUCCUGUCUGUCUUCACUCUGUCCUAGUAAUGAGUGGUUUUGGACGGACACUCAAUCAUUAGGCUUUAAUAAGACAUGACUUUAGAGUGGAGACGGUUUGGAUUGGGCGGGUAUAGAAUCCUAAUUACACACUUUCCCAGAGGGAUUAAACUGGGAGUAUUUUUCAAAAUCUACUCUCUCAUUGACCAUAUCAUAUCAUAUGUAUGUGACUCUGAUCUGCUCUCUCUUGUCCCUCUCUCUCUUUCUCUCUCUUUGUGACAGUUUCCAGCCUGCUGACUCCAGUCAUCACUUACAAUUGAAACCUAAAACAUAAUGUAAAACACUGUCAAAGAAUCAAUCAUCAUUUUACAAUGCAAAUAAUAAUAACAAUUCUUAAUUCUAAUAACUAAUAAUAAUUAUUAUUUUAAUUGAUUUGUCAUAAUAUUGUUUUGUUUCAUUUUUUAAAAUUUCUAAACAUUUAUUUUGAAAUACAAUUCCCUUUUUUUCAACUUUAAAAUAUAACUGUAAAUUGAACUACAGAGGAUUUAAAAAAUGCAAAAUGAGAAACUGCGUCGUUGCAUUACCACACACGGCCACAAGAUGGAAGUGUCCUCCCUAUUUACAAAGCUAUAGUAAAGCUUUGUCAAACAUUCACACUUCUUUACGGUUCCAUGACUAUACAUAAAGAAAAUACUUCUUUCCAAUCAUGUUUGAAGCACCGGAGCCAAACAAACAUGGCCAACUCUGCGAAUAAUGUUUUGUCCUCUCACCAUGUUUUUUUGUAAACUGCAUUUAUGCUUAACUCUAUCCACCUGCUCACAAUUACAUAAUCCCCGAGUUCCUGCCAUGAAUAAAGGGACGCUUGCCUCUGGAAAUAAACAUGGAAAUAUUCCCUUUAUUCUGGAGCGGUGUUUUGCUACAGCCUGUCCAGCUACAUCAUCAGUUCGUGAGAAACUGGGAGAAACAAGACAGAGGAUAGAAGGCUGAGCCCGAGGCAAAGACAGAGAAAGAUAUUCUGAAUUCAUAAAAGAGCGAGAGUCUCUUUUUUUUUUAUAAGAGUUUGAGAAUGCGAGGAGGAGGAGGAGGAGGCUGUUUCUGUCAGACAACGCAGCGGGAAAUGUUUCCGGUGUUGAUUCUUCAGGCACAGAAAUAGAUGAAAAACUGCAUCAAAUAUGACGCUGAACCCCAGGUAUUUAGGCGGAUUUCACUGUUCGACAAAACCCAAAGUCAGGGACACUCAGUGUAAACUUAUGUCUUCUGAAGACAUUCUGCUCAGUCAUUGGACGGCAGACCUCAGAUCUGGCAUCCCGCUGCUUCGAGCUCUGUUACGUCACACUUCUGUUUUGAAAUCAUACCUGACAUUCCUGGGAAGGAUUCAACAGAACCGUUCAACACUAAAUAAAAACUUCAGUCUGAUCCCAGGAAGCAGGAUGUUUCUGACAGGGUCACAGAUGGAGUGAGCAGUACAGAGGUUCCAGUAAGAGGCGACAUGAUGACGAAACCCAUUAUUAGAAAUCGGGAAUGUUUACAUCUACCCACGAGACGUACCAAAUCCCCUGAGGGCGGCCAUACUGUGUGUUUUCUUACACGUCUGGAUAGGAAGGUCAGGUGAGGGAUAUUUAACCACAACAGGUGACUUUAUACUGUACACAGAGACCUGUGAUACGACAGACUCCGUCUGUUGCUUUCCAAAAUAUUAUUGACUAUCUGCCAAAAUACAACAGCAUUUAGUGGUUUUUAGGAAGCGCCUUAUUAACGCUGGGCCAUCAUUUAGUGUCAUUUGUGGCUUCAGUAUCUGCACAGUGGUAUUUUUAAAUACAGUUGUAAUUGCAGUUGAUUGUCAUAAAACCACAUUUAAAAACUAGAUCCUGGGCAGGUGUAGUACGAUACGAGCAAUUUAAUAAAACACAGACUCCAGGUGCGCUUUAGUGCUGAACAGACUCUUCUAGAUUUAACAUCUUAGUGGACGGAACUUCUUUGUUGUGACUUGUUACCCCAACAGUUUGUGUUAAUUAAUUUAUUCAAACAAGGAAAUAGUUCUACACUCUUUAAGUGAGACUGUCACUGAGAGACUGAGAGUGUUUCUAAGUGAACUGAACUUUUAUUGGUGUAAAAGCUCUGCACGCUUUCUGUUCACCUGGCACCGGUGUUAACUUUCUUUAUCUUUAUUAUUUUUUCUGAGAAGAAGAUGAAACUGGCUUCGAGCUGUGCCACCGCGAGAAACAUUUAUUGUGAUCUGUGGGCAUCGUUUCACCAUUGUGGUCAUUUGUAAAAGAGUACUUUAUGAUGCAGCAUUAAUAUGUCAGGCCACACGGAAACAGCUGUCUGUGGUGUGUUUGAUGCCGCAUGAUAAAAAACAUAAAUAAAGUCAUUUACAUAUCACCUAGACAAAUACCUGCCAGCUGGAACCAGUAUUUUUGAAAUAUUAUGUCAGUGCUGCAGAAGCAUGUAGAGUCAAUCGAGUUAGUGGUUUUUCAUAUUUCCUCUCAUCUCUUUCACAGUGUUUACAGAGUCUGUCCCUGCUGGGACAAAUGUAAAUGAAAUUCAAAUCCCAGAAAAGCUCCAUAAAGGAGUCUACAGAAAGAAAUAAUAAUAAAAAAAAUCUGUUAUUACACCUCGUGUCUCCUACUGAGCAAAGCAAACACUGUUGCUCAGCGUGCGACCACAGAGCUGUUCUUACUUAAGUGCUGCUGUAAAAAUAACUCAAUGUAAUGAACUGAAAAUAACCGUAUGUGUGUGUGUGAGCAGAAAAACACACACACAUACACCUUAUUCUCUGGCGCACGCGAAACAGGAAGUAGACGUUAGGCCCUCGUGGUGGAACAACUAUGAGCGAAAACAUUACAUUUUUAUUUUACUCCGUUUAAAGCCUUCACCACCGAUCGUUAAAUUCUCGAAGAAACAAUAAUAUUCUUUACAGUGUUUUAACACAGAGGCUAUUUUGGUGUGUUUCAAAGACAUUACUGACAUGAAGAAGAACAAUCUAGAAGUUUCACUUGUCAGUAACACCUGUGCUGGUCCCACAUGUCUGUGAAAGACGCUACGUUUGGACAGAACAACAGUAAAAUGAUUUGUUUGACAAAAACAUCGACUUCCUCUGCAUGCUGCGACUGUUGACUAGAAUAGAGAAGUGAGAAUCUUUUUUUUUUUUUAAUUAUUAUUAGGCCAGUGGUGACUUGCGUCCAGAAGGUUUCAGGUUUGAGUCCACCAGCUGCCCAGUUACCACUGAGGUGCUCUGAGCGUUCACUUUG